CGACCCCAGGUCAGGCGGGGCUACCCGCUGAGUUUAAGCAUAUCAAUAAGCGGAGG
Molecule: ribosomal RNA, 56 nt
Filed under: Mammillaria beneckei
Lineage: Eukaryota; Viridiplantae; Streptophyta; Magnoliopsida; Caryophyllales; Cactaceae
Also listed under: 5 other names
Description: partial 26S ribosomal RNA
Source: RNAcentral